Rosa chinensis is the source of this 1379-nucleotide RNA transcript. It is a transcript of the gene named 5-formyltetrahydrofolate cyclo-ligase, mitochondrial, with no coding region annotated. Lineage: Eukaryota; Viridiplantae; Streptophyta; Magnoliopsida; Rosales; Rosaceae. The transcript is spliced from 8 exons. The record is from RefSeq and is a predicted model, not a curated record.
AAAAACAGAGCAAAAAUGACAACGAGGACACAUACAUACAUGUCAAGAAGGUUGUUGGUGGCGCUGAUGACCCAACAGUGCACAUUAGCAGCGCCACCUCCACCCGCCACCAUCUCCCGCCGCCCUGCUAUCCUACGCCGCCCAUCACCGCCUCCAUUCUCCCAACGCUUCAUCACAAUGACCACCAACAACCAAGACCACCUCGAUGACUUGUUCAAGCAAAAACGGAUGCUCCGAACUAAGGUCCGGAAGGCCCUGAAGUCAAUGGACCCAGUACUUAGAUCCCAGGAAGAUGAUGCGAUUCAGAGGAUUGUGUUGGAAGCUCCAUGGUUUAAGUCUAGUGAGAGAUUGUGUGCUUAUAUAAGCUGUGCUGCUUUGCGUGAAGUUGAUACUUCUAAAGUGUUGGGUGAGAUUCUAAAGAGUAAAGAUGGUGAUGUGCAAGUGAGGAAAAAGCUUUAUGUGCCGCGUGUGGAGGACAAGAAUAGUCACAUGAGAAUGCUCAACAUUUCGAGUGUUGAUGAUCUGGUUGCGAAUUCGAUGGAUAUUUUAGAACCGGCUGCGGUGGAUGCUGAUGGAAAUGAACGCGAAGAUGUUUUACAGGCAAGUGAUCCAGUUGAUUUGUUCCUCUUACCAGGACUAGCAUUUGACAGAUCUGGGAGACGUUUGGGUCGAGGCGGAGGUUAUUAUGAUACUUUUCUGAGGAACUACCAAGAGCUUGUGAAGGCACGCAAUUGGAAGCAGCCCCUCCUUGAUUGGCGGCUUUAUUGCAGUUGCAAUGUCGUAUUCUCCACAGAUAGUGGAUGAAGGAGUUAUAUCGGUCACCCAACAUGAUGUUCCAGUUGAUGCUCUUGUGUCCUCAGCCGGUGUGAUUCCGAUCAGCACAGCUGCCAUAGACAGGAUGAAACUUUGAUAAGAACCUUGAAGCUUUCUUUCUAGAUGGAUCCUCGCAAAGUUGGACUCUUUUUGCCCCGUGAUCUGUAAAAGGAAAUCAGACCAGUAUGCUUGAGAUACAGGACUUGGUGAUGUUAAUUGAAGAGGUGAAAGUUCUGAUCUGCUGUGGUUGAGAGGUCAGGCUGAUUCCAGCACCUUUAGUCUAAUACAAAUAGAGCACAGUUUCUACCACGUUUAGGUCAUGCUAUUGAUUUGUAUUAUUUGGAACACAGAAUUUAGAGAAAACUUUGUUUUUAGGAUGAAUAUGUUCUUCCUUUGUGCCUUUGUCACUUUUGUCUUCUUUAAGAUAAAACCCGUAUUAUUCUGUACUAGUUCCAUCAGUGUUUUGGGAACAAUUGCAUGUAAGGUGAUGUAGUUGGAUUAGAUUUACCUAUGGGCCAAGGUCCUUUUGAAUUCUCAAAUGAAGCUUGAACUCUAAUUGGUUUUUA